CAAGUCGAACGGCAGCACGGGUGCUUGCACCUGGUGGCGAGUGGCGAACGGGUGAGUAAUAUAUCGGAACGUACCCUAGAGUGGGGGAUAACGUAGCGAAAGUUACGCUAAUACCGCAUACGAUCUACGGAUGAGAGUGGGGGAUCGCAAGACCUCAUGCUCAUGGAGCGGCCGAUAUCUGAUUAGCUAGUUGGUGGGGUAAAAGCCUACCAAGGCGACGAUCAGUAGCUGGUCUGAGAGGACGACCAGCCACACUGGAACUGAGACACGGUCCAGACUCCUACGGGAGGCAGCAGUGGGGAAUUUUGGACAAUGGGGGCAACCCUGAUCCAGCAAUGCCGCGUGAGUGAAGAAGGCCUUCGGGUUGUAAAGCUCUUUUGUCAGGGAAGAAACGGUGAAAGCUAAUAUCUUUUGCUAAUGACGGUACCUGAAGAAUAAGCACCGGCUAACUACGUGCCAGCAGCCGCGGUAAUACGUAGGGUGCAAGCGUUAAUCGGAAUUACUGGGCGUAAAGCGUGCGCAGGCGGUUGUGCAAGACAGAUGUGAAAUCCCCGGGCUCAACCUGGGAAUUGCAUUUGUGACUGCACGGCUAGAGUGUGUCAGAGGGGGGUAGAAUUCCACGUGUAGCAGUGAAAUGCGUAGAGAUGUGGAGGAAUACCGAUGGCGAAGGCAGCCCCCUGGGAUAACACUGACGCUCAUGCACGAAAGCGUGGGGAGCAAACAGGAUUAGAUACCCUGGUAGUCACGCCCUAAACGAUGUCUACUAGUUGUCGGGUCUUAAUUGACUUGGUAACGCAGCUAACGCGUGAAGUGACCGCCUGGGGAGUACGGUCGCAAGAUUAAAACUCAAAGGAAUUGACGGGGACCCGCACAAGCGGUGGAUGAAUGUGGAUUUAAUUCGAUGCACCGCGAAAAACCUUA
This 921-nucleotide ribosomal RNA is filed under the name uncultured Herbaspirillum sp. RNAcentral's name for it is "bacterial SSU rRNA". It matches the Rfam family "Bacterial small subunit ribosomal RNA", at positions 58 to 973 of the family's 1533-position model. The record is from RNAcentral. Lineage: Bacteria; Pseudomonadati; Pseudomonadota; Betaproteobacteria; Burkholderiales; Oxalobacteraceae.